UAGGGAAUCUUCCACAAUGGACGCAAGUCUGAUGGAGCAACGCCGCGUGAGUGAAGAAGGUUUUCGGAUCGUAAAGCUCUGUUGUUGGUGAAGAAGGAUAGAGGCAGUAACUGGUCUUUAUUUGACGGUAAUCAACCAGAAAGUCACGGCUAACUACGUGCCAGCAGCCGCGGUAAUACGUAGGUGGCAAGCGUUGUCCGGAUUUAUUGGGCGUAAAGCGAGCGCAGGCGGAAUGAUAAGUCUGAUGUGAAAGCCCACGGCUCAACCGUGGAACUGCAUCGGAAACUGUCAUACUUGAGUGCAGAAGAGGAGAGUGGAAUUCCAUGUGUAGCGGUGGAAUGCGUAGAUAUAUGGAAGAACACCAGUGGCGAAGGCGGCUCUCUGGUCUGCAACUGACGCUGAGGCUCGAAAGCAUGGGUAGCGAACAGG
This 429-nucleotide ribosomal RNA is filed under the name bacterium. RNAcentral describes it as "partial 16S ribosomal RNA". It matches the Rfam family "Bacterial small subunit ribosomal RNA", at positions 355 to 776 of the family's 1533-position model. The record is from RNAcentral.